Drosophila virilis is the source of this 715-nucleotide non-coding RNA. The record is from RefSeq and is a predicted model, not a curated record. Lineage: Eukaryota; Metazoa; Arthropoda; Insecta; Diptera; Drosophilidae.
AGUCUGUGCCAACCGUCGAGUGCAGAUUGUUGGGCAAACUAAAGUAAAAUAAAUCAAAAGUUGUGCCACUUUUUCUGGUGAGGCAGCUAAAACAAGUACAAGAAGUUCGGGCCAAGCGCCUAUGUUGGGGGACAGCCGGUUAAGCUGUCCUGUCUAUGGCCUGUACUCGUAUUUGCCACAAGCCAAAACUUUCAAUUAUUUUUGCCUCUACCUACAUCUGGUUUCAUUUUUUGUUGUUUUCAAAUUUGUUUGCAUGUAUGCCUCCCGGUUGCGUCUUGGUCACACCACCACUCACAACAAGCAGGCCUCCCACACCACCGACCCGGGCGCAGGCAAGCGAAUUAUUUGAAAUAUUUUCUCGUUUUAUAUACGAGUAUUUCGCUUGCCGGUCGGGUUUUUCAUACUUUUCGGGUUUGCCUCUUAGUGUGGCCGAGCAGGACACAGUUCCUUGCAACCACCGAGCAACAUCGACGAACCACCAUUGUCACAAUCUCCGUAGCCAUAGCUCACACCGCAACCGCCAACUGCCGUGUUGUUGGUUCUUCCGCCUGAUGUUUUUGCUGCCUCGGGCCUCGUCCUUGCCAGACAGCAAUGCCUGUGCAUAAAUUUAAUUAAUGGCCGCUGUGAAUUUGCCUUUAGUUCAGUUGUUUCAUAUUAUUGUGAAAUUUUUAUUUAAAUAAACAAAGUGCCGGCUGGCAUUAGAACUCGCACCCUA